Molecule: ribosomal RNA, 253 nt
Filed under: Heterosigma akashiwo
Lineage: Eukaryota; Raphidophyceae; Chattonellales; Chattonellaceae
Description: partial Trypanosomatid mitochondrial large subunit ribosomal RNA
Source: RNAcentral
CAACUGAAAAUGACCUGAACGCAACAGUCAUCGACAACAACAAUGUCAACCAGGCAGAUUUGGCGGCUCAGGCCAUCGGUGGCUCGAAUUCUAUGGUAUCUAGGAUCGAGCUGUCACUCUCAUGCUCCAAUCUUAGUAACACAGAUAGGGGUAGCCUGACCGAUGCCUUCGCCGUGAUUUAUCUGAAAUCAGCCAGGGCAGACGACCAGUGGCGGGAGGUAGGUCGCACAGAAAUCAUCGCGAACAACCUGAA